GAGGGUAUAGCUCAAGUGGUAGAGCGCAUGCUUAGCAUGCAUGAGGUCCUGGGUUCAAUCCCCAGUACCUCCU
Molecule: transfer RNA, 73 nt
Organism: Camelus ferus (Wild Bactrian camel)
Lineage: Eukaryota; Metazoa; Chordata; Mammalia; Artiodactyla; Camelidae
Rfam family: tRNA
About the family: Transfer RNA (tRNA) molecules are approximately 80 nucleotides in length. Their secondary structure includes four short double-helical elements and three loops (D, anti-codon, and T loops).
Source: Rfam